AACGAACGCUGGCGGCAUGCCUAACACAUGCAAGUCGAACGAGACCUUCGGGUCUAGUGGCGCACGGGUGCGUAACGCGUGGGAACCUGCCCUUAGGUUCGGAAUAACUCCCCGAAAGGGGUGCUAAUACCGGAUAAUGUCUUCGGACCAAAGAUUUAUCGCCUUUGGAUGGGCCCGCGUUGGAUUAGCUAGUUGGUAGGGUAAAAGCCUACCAAGGCGACGAUCCAUAGCUGGUCUGAGAGGAUGAUCAGCCACACUGGGACUGAGACACGGCCCAGACUCCUACGGGAGGCAGCAGUGGGGAAUAUUGGACAAUGGGCGAAAGCCUGAUCCAGCAUGCCGCGUGAGUGAUGAAGGCCUUAGGGUUGUAAAGCUCUUUUACCCGGGAUGAUAAUGACAGUACCGGGAGAAUAAGCUCCGGCUAACUCCGUG
RNAcentral lists this ribosomal RNA (432 nucleotides) under uncultured bacterium. RNAcentral's name for it is "partial 16S ribosomal RNA". It matches the Rfam family "Bacterial small subunit ribosomal RNA", at positions 29 to 507 of the family's 1533-position model. The record is from RNAcentral.